CCUACGGGUGGCAGCAGUGGGGAAUUUUGGACAAUGGGCGCAAGCCUGAUCCAGCCAUGCCGCGUGUCUGAAGAAGGCCUUCGGGUUGUAAAGGACUUUUGUCAGGGAAGAAAAGGCUGUUGCUAAUAUCGACAGUUGAUGACGGUACCUGAAGAAUAAGCACCGGCUAACUACGUGCCAGCAGCCGCGGUAAUACGUAGGGUGCGAGCGUUAAUCGGAAUUACUGGGCGUAAAGCGAGCGCAGACGGUUACUUAAGCAGGAUGUGAAAUCCCCGGGCUCAACCUGGGAACUGCGUUCUGAACUGGGUGACUAGAGUGUGUCAGAGGGAGGUAGAAUUCCACGUGUAGCAGUGAAAUGCGUAGAGAUGUGGAGGAAUACCGAUGGCGAAGGCAGCCUCCUGGGAUAACACUGACGUUCAUGCUCGAAAGCGUGGGUAGCAAACAGGAUUAGAUACCCCAGUAGUC
Molecule: ribosomal RNA, 465 nt
Filed under: uncultured Neisseria sp.
Lineage: Bacteria; Pseudomonadati; Pseudomonadota; Betaproteobacteria; Neisseriales; Neisseriaceae
Description: bacterial SSU rRNA
Rfam family: Bacterial small subunit ribosomal RNA
Source: RNAcentral